Molecule: long non-coding RNA, 4129 nt
Organism: Homo sapiens (human)
Lineage: Eukaryota; Metazoa; Chordata; Mammalia; Primates; Hominidae
Exons: 6
Source: RefSeq, a predicted model, not a curated record
AGACAGGAAAUAGGAUCUUAGUGGGUGGCCGCCAAGAGCGCACAGACUUUGAAGCAGGAAAAGACAGUCUCUAGAGCAACAUGGAAAGGAUCCAGUAUUUGUUUUCAGGCAAAAGCAAGCCUCCAAAAGCCCCUUGGUUCUUCUCUGUGUGUCUCGCCCCUUCUGCCUUGUACACCAGACUGCCGGCAAGCAAGCGGGGAGGUGGCGAACAGCUGGGAUCCUCCAGUGAAAAGUUUGCUCAGCGCGAGAGAUGUCAAGAGGCUGGGAUUGUCGCCUAUCGGGAGGUGGGGAGCUCUCUCACUCACACUUCCUGGGAAAUGAAGGAGAACUAAUAGGCAGCCCGCAUUUGCAGCCAGCCAACCUGGGUGGUAUUCCUUGAAGUGAAGCGCUCAUAAAUCCCUUCUGGGGCCAGAGCCGGUUUCACAAGCUGCAGGAUUUGGGUGGCCUGCCUGCUCUUUGGGAGCGGGCUUGGGAAGCUGAAGAAAUUGAAUCAGGACCUCAGGCCCUUUACAGACUCCCUUCUACACUUGGUUGCUGAUUAAGAACAUUAUGUGGCAUUUAAAAUGGCACAAUUAUCUUCCGUUGGCCGUUCCUAGCUAAAAGUAGACUCCUAUCAGCCCGUGACUGACGACAAGAAGGCUCUUCGUCCCUGUUUUUGAAAUAAACAUGGGUAUAAUCUGAAUGUGUCAACUGCUUAUUUCCUAAGGGAGUCUAAUGGAUAAUUUUUAAAAUCUAACUUGGACGUAUUCAUAAUAAGCAUCGUCCAUUUUGCUAAGUUCUUUCCUAAGGCAAAUAAAUAGAGUCUUGCAAUUGCUUUCUUUGUUCUUGUCAGAAUGUUUCAGGUUUAGAUUUCUCACCCCAGGGGAAGAAGAAUGUGUGUACAAGUACAUUUGGCAAACUGGGUUUGAAAAUGUAGAGGAAUAUGCUUCUCAAUAGAGAAGUUUCCCUCCCAUAUUUUCUUAUGCUAUGGGUUGGAAAGGCUAUGUUUCCCUGUUUGCCAAAUGCAAAAACAAACAGGCAAACAAACACAAUUUUUAAAAAAAGUUAAAACAAUAAGAAGGCCAGAAGCAAUCUAAUUUCAGUAAUAUUUUUAAGAAAUUAAUGGCCUGUAUAUGUGGCAACAGACACUUGGAAAAGAUCAGGCCGACAGAUGGGCACAAGUAAAGCCACAGGAAAACUGGGAAGGAUGAUAAAUAUUAUCUGUAGGACAUUUUUAUCCCCCUUGUUAAUUAACUAUCCUGCUUUUCUUACAACAGCUAUGCUUAUUUUCCUUUUUACUCCAAAAUUGUUUUAUUUCAUAUUGCUUUCUUUCAAGUUUUCUCAUAUUUCCCUCCUGUGAGUUUUUUUUUUCUUUUUUUUUUUUUCUAUCCCAAAUCUGCUUUGAUUUUCCAUCCUGUGUUCUCUCCCACAUCUCCUUCAACAAGGUUUUUGCAGGGAGAAAGGAAGGACAUUUCCUUUGCCUCUUGUCAACUUCUUAACAAUUUUCUUGCUAUUAAUGUCUAACAACUUUCCAGCCCCAGGGAAUACACAUACCUUCUUUUUCUAUAAAUUGUUGUGUGCUGUUCUCACUGCCCAUCGUUGAAAAUGCAACAUGGCAUUAUUAAUCUUACUCUCACUCUCUUUUUUUUUUCCUCUUAGAAGAAUUCCACAGAUGAAUUGGUUCUGCCCUGUAUCUUUGAAUGGUUUUUAUUUUCUGAUGUCCAGUGUGGCAGCCUGGCAGAGACAUUUAGUUGAAAGAACACGGGGCUCUGGAAACAACCAGUCCUCCUUGGUUCAUAUUCUCGUGUUGUCACUUAUUAACCGAGUGACAUUGGAAUCUAAAAUAUUCCUGGAAAUGGAGAGUCCUGACAUGAUGGCCCCAUGAUGAAAAGAACCCAGGUUCCUGAGUCACGACGUGGACAUGAGGCACCAAGGAGAAAACACGUGAACCUUAAUAAGUUUGGGGGUACACCUCCUUGCCAUGUGUUACCUUCUGUCAUGUUAUGAUGCAGCAAGAAGGCCCUAAUCAGUGGUAGUCCCUCAGUCCUGGACUUCUCAGCCUCCAGAACUAGCUUUGACAUUCUUCUGUCAAGUCACCUUGCAAGUCUCAUGCUUUCUGGAUUCACUGCAGAUUAGAGUACCCAGAAUUAGCCAAGACCUUCAACAUUUAAUGACUAGCCAUGGAGAAGAAAUAAGAUGAACUGCUUGUCCCAGAAAGCGAUAGAACUUUGAAAGCAGCUAUAUAUUUCCUAGCUACCUCUAAAAAAUGGAGCUGUCUUCAUGAGACCUGUAAGAAGCCAACAGGUAACUUGAGAUAUAAUACUUAAAGGAAUGGCAAAGUAACUGAUCUAAUUAAGACAUCCCCCAAAUAUCACAAAGUAGGAAGAUUGAUGCUGAAAGAGAUGCUUUGAGCACCAUUGGUUGCCUGUAAGGAGUAUGAUUUCAAAUGGCAAAGUUGACUGGAGAACCUCCUAGGCAUUAAGUGGUUUUCAAGAAGACUUUCUUUGGCUUUCUCUUUGUUCAUGAAACAGAAAACUGUGUUUGGGUUGCAUUCCAAUACAGAGAGACUUAGUCCCUAUAAGAUUGAAAUGUGCUGGUUCUUAGGUAAUUAGGACUCCUUCCCAGCCCAAUCGAGAAAAUUGGCUUUGCCUUAUGCUUGGAAAGAAAGUGGAACGUAAAUGGAAGCCAGUAGAUAUUUCACCUGCCACUCAACUCAUUAAGGUUAAUAGCAAAUGAAUAAACAGAAAUUCUGUUGAGGGAUGUGGCAUGUGUACCCAGUCAUUGGUGACAUGGCUAUGUGCACACGGAGACUUGCUCUGUCAGAUCAGUAGGAUAAUUUUAGCUUUUACUUUUGCCCCUUAGAUCUGAGGUUUCUCAUUCUGUCCUCAGUGAUUAAUGAUGUUCUGUUACUUCAGAUGCCCAAAACCUGGCUCUGGCAAUUGGAUGUUCAUUUGGUUGCCCUGAUGUAAUCAUUGAAGGGAAUGGCGUUAAUGGACCGUGGAAUAGUUGGCCUCCAUAUGUGGAUGGACUGACUUAUGUGGAUGGACUGACUUAGACUGAAUGUUAAAGUGACCCAGUUUAUUGUUUGAUAAUUGGCCAUGAAGUGAACCAACACUAACGUAUUUGGUGAUUCAGUUAUUCUAAAUCACUGUUUGGUAUGAGAUGAGAGAAGAAUGGGAAUAAUAUCUAGUGUUAGUUCUGUAAUUUUGUUAAGUAUUUUUGAGGCCCUGCUGUGGGCUGAGUGCUGUUCUAGGUUCUGACAGGGUGUUGGAGGAGAGAUUAAAAGGUGAACAAGAUAUUGCUUCUGAUCUUGAUGUGUUUUUAUCUGGAGAAAGAAGACUUCGGGCCUCAUAUCCUAUUUUGCUCAACUCAGGGCAGAGACCCGAGAAGCAUUAAGAUUUAAAAUGCAGGAACGUGUGAGAUCAUUGCAUAAAGACUCAUUAUAAAAAUGCCAAGCAGUCUGAGAAGCAGUAGAGAGAACAUAAUUAAAAGACACUGUUUUAGUUUUCUAGGGCUGCUGUAACAAGGGAACACAAAUUGGUGGCUUAAAAUAUCAAGAAUUUACUUUAUCACAGUUCUAGAUGCCAGAAUCCAAAAUCAAGGUGUCGGUAGAGUUGAUUCCUUCCUGGAGGUUUAGAGAAAGAGUCUGAAGAUGCCUCUCUUUUGGCUUCUGGUGGUUGCUGGAAAUUCUUGGCAUUCCUUGGCUUGCAACUGCAUAGCUUCAACCUUUACAUCGGUUGUCACAUGGCCAUCAUCCCUCUAUGCCUUUCCAUCUCUGGCUUUCUUCACUUCUUAUAAGGACACCAAGAAAUACUGGAUUAAAACUACUCGAGUAUGACCUCAGUUUAACAAAUGACAUCUGUAAUGACCCUAUUUCCAAAUAAGGUCACAUUCUGAAGUUCUGGGAAUUUGGGGGUAUGUGUGGGGACACUAUUCAACCAAACUUUUCACCAACUGACAUACCUACAAAUGUUGACAAAAUCAGCAGGGCAGGAGAGUAAAGAAGUGAAACAAUAUACUUCCAAGAAAGAAGCAAAGAGAAGAAAGGUAUUGUUCUUCUAUUCCUCUCCCCUUAGUUUAAUACAGGCACCGAAACUUGAAGUAGGACUGUAGCAGAACUAAUAUGAUAAUUACUUUCAGAGGAAAAUGU